GCUGGGCGUGGUAGCGUGUGCCUGUAGUCCCAGCUAUUCAGGAGGCUGAGGCUAGAGGAUCUCUGAAGUCCAGGAGUUCUGGGCUGUAGUGCGCUAUGCCGAUCGGGUGUCCGCACUAAGUUCGGCAUCAAUAUGGUGACCUCCCAGGAGCAGGGGACCACCAGGUUGCCCUAAGGUGGGGUGAACUGGCCCAGGUCGGAAACGGAGCAGGUCAAAACUCCUGUGCUGAUCAGUAGUGGGAUCGCGCCUGUGAAUAGCCACUGCACUCCAGCCUGGGCAACAUAGCGAGACUCCGUCUCU
Molecule: signal recognition particle RNA, 300 nt
Filed under: Cebus imitator (Panamanian white-faced capuchin)
Lineage: Eukaryota; Metazoa; Chordata; Mammalia; Primates; Cebidae
Description: Metazoan signal recognition particle RNA (ENSCCAG00000013320.1)
Rfam family: Metazoan signal recognition particle RNA
About the family: The signal recognition particle (SRP) is a universally conserved ribonucleoprotein.
Source: RNAcentral